This 406-nucleotide ribosomal RNA is filed under the name uncultured bacterium. RNAcentral describes it as "partial 16S ribosomal RNA". It matches the Rfam family "Bacterial small subunit ribosomal RNA", at positions 29 to 526 of the family's 1533-position model. The record is from RNAcentral.
AUUGAACGCUGGCGGCAGGCCUAACACAUGCAAGUCGAGCGAGCGGCGGACGGGGGAGUAAUGUCUGGGAGACUGCCUGAUGGAGGGGGAUAAAUAAUGGAAACGGUAGCUAAUACCGCAUACCCUCAGAUGUGUCCAGAUGGGAUUAGAUAGUAGGUGGGGUAACGGCUCACCUAGGCGACGAUCCCUAGCUGGUCUGAGAGGAUGACCAGCCACACUGGAACUGAGACACGGUCCAGACUCCUACGGGAGGCAGCAGUGGGGAAUAUUGCACAAUGGGCGCAAGCCUGAUGCAGCCAUGCCGCGUGUGUGAAGAAGGCCUUCGGGUUGUAAAGCACUUGCAGCGGGGAGGCGUUACCCGCAGAAGAAGCACCGGCUAACUCCGUGCCAGAAGCCGCGGUAAUAC